Molecule: long non-coding RNA, 935 nt
Organism: Mustela erminea (ermine)
Lineage: Eukaryota; Metazoa; Chordata; Mammalia; Carnivora; Mustelidae
Exons: 3
Source: RefSeq, a predicted model, not a curated record
ACAGAGUCAGGAGGACAUAUGGCGUAAGAAGAGCCCACCUCCGGAGCCCUGUAGUGUCACUUUGCCACAUCUUAUCUGUUAAAAUUUGUGUCAUGAAAGGCAUGCACUGUAGUUAUGAGAAGAAAGUGCGGAGUCAGGAACGGCUUUCAAGUUUUUGGCCCGAGUGUCUGGAAACAUCGUGGUGCCAUUUACUGAGAUGGAGUGACUGCGCAUCGCUUGCUGGUGGGGAGGAAUCAGAGAUGGCCUCAGGUCUCGUGAGCACGAGGACAAGCAAAUAACACCCACCUGCUCCAGCCCCGAAGCAAGGAGCUACCUUUAUACCUCCUCCUCAACCCUACUCAUCCCAGGGGCCAGGCAAGCCUCCCAAAGUACAUCUCAAAUCUGCCUGUUAGCCAGCAUCUCUCGCCACCUCUCUUGCCCCAGCCACCAUCAGCUCUCGUCCAGACCAGGAGUCAGCCAACUUCUGUACAGGUCCAGAUAGCAAAUAUUUUAGGCUUUGCGGGUCAUACAGCCUUCUCUGCACAUACUUAACUCUGCAGCCCUAGACAACAUGUAAAUAAGUGGGGGUCGCUGUGUUCCAAGAACGCUUUAUUUUUAGACACUGAAAUUAGAAUUUUUAUCAUUUUCUUGUGUCAUUGAGUCCACUUUUGAUUUUUUUUUUCAACCGUUUCAAAAUGUGAGCAACAAUUGUUAGCUCACAGCCUGCACAGAAACAGGCAGCAGGCCAGUUUCGAUGUCUGCCUGAUUCUGAGACUUGUGCUUUCUAUACUACUUUGUCUCCUCCCCUGUAGCAUUGGUGAGACUUAAGGGGAGAGAGGGGUUCAGGCCCAAGCACUUUGAAGAUGAAGAUCUGGCUGAACGGAGGAAGGGAAGUGAUUUCAGGCAAAGGUAUCCACACGAAUAACAGCUUAGAAAUGGGCAGGAGCCUGGUGCUG